AGCAUGGCUUUUUCCAUUACAGCUCACUUCCCCCUGGUCCUCAACACCCCCCCCCCAGUGCCUUUCUUUCCUCUUUCUUCCUCUUGUUUCCUCUGCCUUCUCCCUUCCCUAGCUUUCCUUACCAAUAAUAAACAUUGAUUUUAAAAAAAAGUCCUCAUUCAUCAUUUACAAUCUGCUAAAGCAGUUCUUCAAAAUUCCUGUAGGCAGGACACCUAAGUCUUGGGUUGAGCGUCAUGAAUGUUGUGUGUGUGCACGUGUGUGUGUUGCAUGUGUGUGUGUGGCAUGUGUGUGUGUGUGUGUGGCAUGUACUGGAGAGUCACCAUUGACUAUCCUGCUCUGCUUGACACCCUGCCAGCAAUUGCCCUGCCCUGGGGGGAAGCUCAGAGGCCCAGGCCCCCAGUGCUCAUCAGACAUCUGUUGG
This 421-nucleotide long non-coding RNA is filed under the name Sus scrofa (pig). RNAcentral's name for it is "lncRNA (ENSSSCG00015033625.1)". The record is from RNAcentral. Lineage: Eukaryota; Metazoa; Chordata; Mammalia; Artiodactyla; Suidae.